UACAGUCAGCAUGGCAAUUGCACACUUCCUCAAAACUUGAGACAUCUUUGACAUUGUGUUGUGUGACAAAACUGCACAUUUUUAGAGUGGCCUUUUAUUGUCCCCAACACAAGGUGCACCUGUGUAAUGAUCAUGCUGUCAGGUGCAUAGAUUAUUUUGGUAAAGGAGAAAUGCUCACUAACAGUGAUGUAAACCAAUUUGUGCACAAAUUUGAGGGAAAUAAGCUUUUUGUACGCGUGGAACAUUUCUGGGAUGUUUUAUUUAAGCUCAUGAAACAUGGGAUCAACACAUUACAUGUUGCAUUUUUGUUCAGUAUAAAUUAGGGCCUGCCCUAUACAGACGAUGCUUAAUUUGAUAGAGCCAGACACAGGCAGGGUGGAAGUGGUAGCCUACAUCUCUGAGGGAGGGAGGGCUGGGUCUUGUGUUAGACAUCAGAAAGUAAAACCACAGCACGGCUUAUGUGCUAAAUCUACGGAAGCUAGUUGAAGCAAUAACAGACAAGAAACCUAACACACUUCCUGUCAGAAAUCAGAAGAAUUUUGUUGUAAAAGAUGCUUUCAAAUGUUGCCGAAACGUGUCUCUUGGUAAAUUGACUAACUUAAAAGGCACAGAAAUCUUAUGACAUAUAGUUUGACUUUACCUAUUACCUAGAGAAGAUGGAACAGAACUUUGCUGAUUUGUUAACGGAUGCAUUUUCAGACACAUCCCUCCCAUCUUUCCCUGAAGGAGGGUUUGACUUUGAGCCUCUUGAUUUUGAUGAAGCCAAGACAGAAAUGUCCUCUGGAAGAUUACCAGUGCUGAGAGAGGAAGAGGAAGAUGUGGAUGAAGGACAGGAAGAGGAAGAGCCUGGUGGAGAAACUGGAACUGUACCUGACCCUAUCUCAGUGAAGACAUAUGAUGAGAAUGAAGAGGAAGAAGAGCAAGAUGAACCUGGAGCUCCAGAGAUUGUUUCUGAUUGUCCUGAUCCCGCAGCAACACAGAAUCUGCUAUCUAUUAUGGUCAAUACCUUUGUGGAACACCCGCUUGAGGCGAAAAUUAAGGACUUCCUAGGGGAUGACCACCAAGAGGCAGGUGAAAGCUUUGCAGAUUACCCCUCUGACUUCUUUCCAAGUGAAUACGACAAGGAUGGAGGGAAAGGGAGAGAGCGAAACAAAAAUGGGAGCACACUGUCUAGUCCCUCUGAGGGUCAUUUAAAGAUAGACGAGAAUGUCGACCCAGAGAGAGAGACAACCGAGCAGAAGGAUAGCCAUGUACAGGGAGAGGAAGAUGAAAAGGUUGAUGUGAGACCUGCUAUCUCUCUGAGCGUAGAAGGCAAACAAGAUUUUGCAGAUUGUGCGAUGUGUAAUAUCAAUAUUGACAUUAGCAUGAAGAAGAUUAUUGAAAACAAUCUUGAAGCUGAUAGUUCCAGUGAUAGUUCCAGUGAUAGCUCCACUGAUAGCUCCAGUGAUAGUUCCAGUGAGGAUGAGAAGGAUAAUGAAGAACACCCAGCCCUGCCAAGAUACCAGGGUCUUCCUCAGAGAGACUGCAGAUCUGAUGUUUUACCUCUACCUGACUGGGAGGGUGGAGAGGAGAACAUCUCCAAGCAGAGUGUUGCCGACCUGCAUCUUUCAGACACCAUCUCUGAUGUCCCCACUUUUACCCUUCACAGUGAGGCUGGACUCAGUACAGCAGAUGUAACCAGGUGUAACAGGGGUAAGAGGAGUACAGGCAACAUGUCAUCAUCUGACUCUGAGGAUAAUUUUCCGGGAGAAUUUUGUACGUUGGAGACUGAACUAAGAAAGGACAAAGGGGAGACUUGGAUUUGGGGUAAAGAGGAGUAUCUUCGAGAAAUCCAGCCGGAGCUAGAAGGAAAGUUGGAGAACCACCUUCACACCAAUAUAAACUGGGACACAGGGGAAAAUAAGGUGGACAGGAGUGGUUUCAUUCUAGAUUACCAGUACGAGGGGAGCAGAAUCACAGUCGGAGAGGAACAAUUUGCAGAUGAUGAAGAAGAGGAGGAGAGGAGUUGGAAACAAGAGAGAGUGAGAAUCGAGGCAUUCUACAAGUUUUAUAAUGACGAAGAGAAGGAGGCCAUGGAAACAGAAGGUGCUUUUUCAAGGAGGAAGCCUAGAGUUCAGUUCUGCAUGGAUCCCCUGCAUCAAGUCAUUGAAUAUACAGACAGCAGCAGUGACACGGAUUUGGUCGACGGCACAUCUGACAGAGAUGAGGACCUGGAUUCUACAGCAAGGCUUGAAGAGCAGCGUGAGCCUGAGACUCAAGAGAGUCAAAAGCCACAAGGAGAACUACAAGAUCUCAGCAAAAUACCUCGGACACACAGCAAGAGAGACUGGGUAAGUCUUUACCCCACAACUUUCUGUAAAAAAAAAGGGCUUCAUGAAAUUGAUGGGAUUACUCUGACACACUGUGUUUGUGUAGUGUCUGAGGGUGCUGAAGUUCCUGCUGAAGAUGGCCCUUUUGACAUUGAUUGGACUUUUGACAUUCUGGUGGACAACAGACCUAAAGGACUUGGACUGGUGAUCUGGACCAAAUACAGUUUUUUGCAAACGACUGUACUGUAUUGUCAAUAUGCCUAUGCCUGA
Oncorhynchus kisutch (coho salmon) is the source of this 2579-nucleotide long non-coding RNA. The record is from Ensembl. NCBI's taxonomy places the organism in Eukaryota, Metazoa, Chordata, Actinopteri, Salmoniformes, Salmonidae.